RNAcentral lists this ribosomal RNA (429 nucleotides) under Chloroflexota bacterium. RNAcentral's name for it is "Chloroflexi bacterium partial 16S ribosomal RNA". It matches the Rfam family "Bacterial small subunit ribosomal RNA", at positions 355 to 776 of the family's 1533-position model. The record is from RNAcentral. Lineage: Bacteria; Bacillati; Chloroflexota.
UGGGGAAUAUUGCACAAUGGGCGCAAGCCUGAUGCAGCCAUGCCGCGUGUAUGAAGAAGGCCUUCGGGUUGUAAAGUACUUUCAGUCGGGAGGAAGGUGUCAAGGUUAAUAACCUUGGCAAUUGACGUUACCGACAGAAGAAGCACCGGCUAACUCCGUGCCAGCAGCCGCGGUAAUACGGAGGGUGCGAGCGUUAAUCGGAAUUACUGGGCGUAAAGCGCACGCAGGCGGUUGAUUGAGUCAGAUGUGAAAUCCCCGGGCUUAACCCGGGAAUUGCAUCUGAUACUGGUCAGCUAGAGUCUUGUAGAGGGGGGUAGAAUUCCAUGUGUAGCGGUGAAAUGCGUAGAGAUGUGGAGGAAUCCCGGUGGCGAAGGCGGCCCCCUGGACAAAGACUGACGCUCAGGUGCGAAAGCGUGGGGAGCAAACAGG